Molecule: long non-coding RNA, 7875 nt
Filed under: Brassica napus (rape)
Lineage: Eukaryota; Viridiplantae; Streptophyta; Magnoliopsida; Brassicales; Brassicaceae
Description: long non-coding RNA (BNAP_LNC019228)
Source: RNAcentral
AACAAAUUCGAAGGAACUAUUCCAGAUGUGUUUGUCAAUGCUACCAAGUUAGUAUCAUUGGACGUUAGUCACAACAAUCUAGAAGGGAAGUUUCCAAAGUCAUUGAUCAAUUGCAAAUAUUUGCGAUUUGUGAACGUGGAAGGCAACCUAAUCAAGGACAGGUUUCCAUCGUGGUUGGGAUCUCUACCAUCAUUACAAGUUCUCAUCCUCAGAUCAAACGAGUUCUACGGGCCGUUGUAUCAUGACCACAUGUAUAUUGGGUUUCAGAGUUUGAGAGUCAUUGAUAUAUCAGACAAUGACUUCACUGGAACUCUUCCACAUUAUUAUUUUUUGAACUGGCGUGCAAUGACCACGUCAACUGAAGAAAGUGAGGAGGAGUACAUGGAAAAUUUUGGCUAUUAUUCUCGUAUGUAUCAAUCUAUGGAAAUGGUGAAUAAAGGAGUAGAGACAACCUUUGAGCGGAUUCGAAAAGACUUCAUAUCCAUUGAUUUUUCUGGAAACAGAAUUUAUGGCAAAAUACCUGAAUCUAUUUCCUUUAUGAAGGGAUUGCGUCUUCUCAACUUGUCGGGAAAUGCAUUCACAGGUGGUAUCCCGCAAGCCCUGGCAAAUCUGACAAAUCUCGAGACAUUGGACCUCUCCAGUAAUAAGCUGUCAGGUCAAAUCCCUCAAGAUCUUGGCAACCUCUCAUUUCUAUCAUACAUGAACUUCUCCCAUAACUUUCUCCAAGGUCCAGUUCCACGAAGCACACAAUUUCAAAGACAGAAGUGUUCUUCAUUCUUGGAUAACCCUGGACUCUACGGUUUCGAAGAAAUCUGUCAAGAAAGCCAUUUCCCCAGUAGUCCUACAUCACAUCAAUCCGAGGAAUUGUCAGAGGCAGAGGAAAAAAUGUUCAGCUGGAUUGCAGCUGCAAUAGCCUUUGGACCUGGUUUAUUCUGUGGAUUGGUUAUGGGACAUAUCUUCACUUCACACAAUCAAGAAUGGUUUACAGAAAAGUUUGGUCCAAGAAAAAUCAGAGUCGUCACAAGUGCUCGUUAAGUCCAUCUCUUGUAGUCUCUCUAAUAAGCAUUUCUAAGACUCAUGUAGUCCAACAUCUUCGUCGUAUUUGUACUAAAUUCUUUAGGUGUGUGUCCUCCAAAAGACUUAUUCAGUUGUUUGUAAUUUUCUCUGUAAUAGUUUUGUAAUAAACAUGUUGGUGGUAUUUAAUGUAUCUUGGCUUGAAAAUGUACACAUGAAUUUCCUCCUACUCAAAUCUUCAACUUGUCGCUGUCCAGUGAAAAAAUCUUAGAAUCUCUUAAAUAUAGAACUUAUCAACUUUUAGGAUCACAGGUUAGUUACUCGUACAAUUUUAUUUCUAAAAGACAGACGGUGAGAUUCCGACAUUAGAAAUACAAGUCAACUUGAAUUUUCUGUAACAUUCAUACUCUGACCUCUGCAACAAGUACAUUCCAAUCAAUUUGUUUUUUCAUAGGAAUUGUGUUUACAUAGCCCAUAAAACUUCUUUUUCUUAAAUACAGAACUUACUCUGCCCUACUGUGUUUCACUGGAUUUCUCUUUUUUUUUUCAGACUUUACCCUACACUAAGAAGGUUGCUUACCAGAAAAUCAAAAGGCAGAUAGUCUAGCACGAUGUGUCAGAAAACAAUCGUCUUUCGUCGUUCACAUGGAUUGCGGAGUUACCAGUUUGGUUCGCAGAAUCUAUAUGAGUCUGUUUGUCGAUGACAAAAAAAAAAUAAUAAUAAUUUAUACCAUUUUAUAUAUUCUUUUUAUUCGUCACGGGCUACACCCUUAAAAAGUCAAACUCAAACCGACAAGUUGACGCAAGACUUGCCAAGUGACAGACCCACUAGAGACUAGAGUUUCUCAUGCAAUCCUUCUUCUUACAAAGAACCAAAAACUUUGAUUAAAAAAACGAAGAAAAAAAAGAUGAAGACUUGGCCAAUCAAUGUCGACUUGACGCAAGACUAACCAAGUCACUAGGUUAUAACUUCCUUCUUAAAGAGAAUUAGAGAACCAGUGAAGCAUACAACAGCAUAACUCAUUACUUUUACAACACAAACUAAAAAAGAGAGAUGAUGAUUCGAAACCACUGUUAUUGCUUUCCUAGCAUUAUUACCAUCUUUGUCUCUAUUUUAAUCCACAGUCUUGCCUCUCCUACGCUCCACUUUUGCCGCCACGACCAGAGGGAUGCUCUUUUGGAAUUCAUUCACGAGUUUCCUACUGAUAAGUCUUUUCCAAGUUCUUGGAACAAAAGCAGCGAUUGUUGUUUUUGGGAGGGAGUCGAGUGCCAUAAUAAAUCUGGCCAGGUUAUAUCACUCGACCUUUCUUAUAAAUAUCUUAACGGCUCUAUAAAACCAAACAGUAGCCUCUUCAAACUCCAAUAUCUUCGUGAUUUAAGCCUUAAUUAUUGCAAUCUCCAAGGAAAGAUUCCUUCUUCACUAGGAAAUCUUUCUCGUCUGGAGACUCUUGGACUCAGUAUCAAUCACCUGGUAGGCGAAGUUCCAGCUUCCAUCGGACACCUAACCGAACUGAGAAUCGUGUCCCUUGGGAAAAACAGCUUAAGUGGCAGGUUUUCUAGUUUAUUCGCCAAUUUAACGAAGCUUACCCAUAUUUUCCUCCACUCUAAUAACUUCACAUCCACGCUUCCAUCCGACAUGAGUGGACUGUACCGUUUGGAGUGGUUCGAUAUCAGUGAAAACUCAUUUUCCGGGCCUUUCCCUAAAUCCUUGUUCACCAUUUCCUCCUUACUUAUAGUUUAUUUAGGAAGAAACCAAUUCACGGGACCUAUAGAUUUCGAGAACACAUCUUCCCCAUUGGUCAACCUAGGUGAUCUUGUCCUUGCUAGUAACAAAUUCGACGGCCCAAUCCCAGAAUCCAUAACUAAAUUUCUCAACCUUGAAAACCUAGAUCUUUCCCAAAACAGUUUCAGUGGACCAAUCCCUAGAUUUAUAUCAAAUUUAACCAAACUCGGUCAUCUUAAUUUUGCGAAAAACAAGUUGGAAGGUGAAGUACCAGCUUGCUUGUGGAAUCGGCGGCCGUCGACAGUGGUGCUUUCUCACAACUAUUUCAGCAGUUUUGAAAACGUUUCACAAGAAACAGAAACUGAUCAUAUGGAUCGGUUGGAUCUGAAUUCGAAUUCAUUCCGAGGACCAUUUCCCCACUGGCUCUGCAAGUUUUCCCGGUUAGAGUAUUUAGAUUUGUCCAACAACCUCUUCAGCGGCUCCAUCCCUCCAUGUUUAAAAAACUUCACUGCUACUCUUAUAGAGUUAACUCUUGGGAACAACAACUUCAGUGGAACUCUUCCAGAUAUAUUUGCUGGUGCUACCAGGUUAGAAUCACUCGACGUUAGUGCCAACCUUCUAGAAGGAAACUUCCCAAAGUCCUUGAUCCACUGCAAAGCUCUUCAACAUGUGAAUGUGGGAAGCAACAGAUUCAAGGACAAAUUUCCACAUUGGCUGGGAUCUUUGCCGUCAUUACAUGUUCUCAGCCUCCGAUUCAACAAGUUCUUCGGGCCGUUGUAUCGUCAUCAUCAUCGCCAUAUGUCCUCUGGGUUUAAGAGUUUAAGAGUCGUCGAUAUUUCACAUAAUAACUUCACUGGAGCUCUCCCACCCGGCUAUUUUUCCAGCUGGCAUGGAAUGACGAAAAUGAGGGAAGAAGAUGACGUCCCGUACAUGGAACCAACUUCUAUUAUUUAUCCUUCUUUUCCUCAUAAUUAUGAGUCUGUGGAAAUGGUGAUCAAAGGAGUAGAGAUGAGCUUUGAGCGGAUCCGACAAGACUUCCGAGCCAUUGAUUUUUCUGAAAACAGAAUCCACGGCAAAAUCCCCGAAUCUUUGUGCUCUUUGAAGGAACUGCGUAUUCUCAACUUGUCAGGUAACGCCUUCACAGGCGUGAUCCCACGAUCCUUGGCAAAGCUAACAAAGCUCGAGACGUUAGACCUGUCAUGUAAUAAGUUAUCAGGUGAAAUCCCUCAAGAUCUUGGUAAACUCUCCUUUCUAUCGUACAUGAACUUCUCCCAUAACCAUCUCCAAGGUUCAGUGCCACGAGGCACACAGUUUCAAAGCCAGAACUGUUCUUCAUUCAUGGACAACCCUGAACUCUUGGGUCUCGAAGAUAUCUGCAGAAAACCCAAUGUGCUGGGUCCUACGUCACAUCAACCAGAGGAAGUGUCGGAGUCGGAAGAACCGAUGUUCAACUGGGUAGCAGCUGCUAUAGCCUACGGACCAGGUGUGUUCUGCGGAUUUGUGAUCGGAUAUUAUAUCUUUACUUCAGGCUAUCAUGAGUGGUUCGCAGAAAGGUUUGGUCGAAGAAAAAUCAGAGUCACCAGAAGGGAUCAUUAAUCUCAUCUCUUGCAGUCGCUCUAUGAAUCUGUGAAGCAAAGGUGUUUUAUCCAAAAAGACUUGUUUGUUUUAUUAAUCUCUGAAGCAAUGUUCUGUUUAAUGUUUUUGUAAUAGGUCUUUUAGUUGUAUUUGAAUAUAUACUUUCAUUUGCAGUUCUCACAAGAGUGUCACAGGUCUACAGAUCUUCUGAUAUACAUUAAAUUUUAGGGUCACAGGUCCAAUAUGUAAAUGAGAUCUUAGCCACAACAAUUUCACUGGAUCAAUCCCUAGAUCUAUAUCAAAGUUAGUCAACCUCACGGAUUUACAGCUUUCAAACAACAACUUGAAAGGUGAAGUACCAGGUUCGUUUGGGGAUUGAGUAACUUGACUCUUUCUCACAAUUCUUUCGAAACUUUUGGGAACUCUUCAAAAUAAACAAUGAUUAUGAGUUUGGAUCUGAGUUCGAAUUCAUUCCAAGGACCAUUUCCCCAUCGGCUCGAUUCCUCGAUGUUUUUGAGAAAUUUUGUUGUUUUUAUUGAAGUCUUGGUGUUGAAGUAACAACAGUUUCAGCGGAGUUAUUCCAGAUAUGUAUUUGCAAAUGCUUCCAAGUUACUAUCGUUAGACUUUAGUCACAACCAGCUGGAGGAACUCUCCCACCUCACUAUUUUUCCAAAUGGAAUGAAACAAACAAGUCAUCAGGAGGAUAUGGAUACAUGAAAAAUGCCUUGAAUGAUUCUACGAUCUAUCGUAAUUCAAUGGAAAUGGUGAAUAAAGGAGUAGAGACCAGGUUUGAGGGAAUCCGAGAAGACUUUAGAGCCAUCGAUUUCUCUGGAAACAGAUUUUAUGGCAAAAUCCCUGAAUUUAUUGGCUUCUUGAAGGAAUUGCAUCUUCUCAACUUGUCAAACAACGCAUUCACAAGUGACAUCCCACAAUCUUUGGAAAAUCUGACUAAUCUCGAGACGUUGGACCUCUCGAGUAAUAAGCUUUCAGGUCAAAUCCCUCAAGAUCUUGGUAAGCUCUCGUUUCUGUCAUACAUGAACUUCUCCCACAACCUUCUCCAAGGACCAGUGCCACGGGGCACGCAAUUCCAAAGGCAAAAAUGUUCUUCAUUCUCGGACAACCCUGGACUCUACGGUCUCGAAGAAAUCUGUGGAGAACCCCAUUAUCCGAAUCCUACAUCACAAGCAAACGAGGAAUUGUCAGAGUCGGAAGAACCAGUGUUCAACUGGAUAGCUGCUGCAAUAGCCUACGGACCUGGCGUAUUCUUUGGUUUGGUGAUCGGUUACAUAUUCACUUCACAUAAUCAUGAGUGGUUUCACUGAAACGUUUGGUCGAAGAAAACUCUGAGUCACAGUUACUGCUUGUUUGAUUCUCAUCUCUUGUACUCUCUCUAGUAAGCAUUUGUGAAGCUUAUGUUGUCCAAAGUCUUGUUUGUAUUUGUACUGAAUUUGCCAUAUGUUCUUCAAAAGACUUUUGUGUUUUUCUUUGUUUGUUUGUUGUUGUAGUUUCCUAUUUAAUUUUGUUGUAAUAAAUGAAUUUGGUGGUAUUCAAUCAACAUUUUGAUUUGAAAUUGUUAUACGGGAACUUCUUCCUAAUCAAAUCUUAAACUUGCGCUUGAAAAGUCUUCCUUCUCUUGUAUACAAUUAACUAUCCACGCGUAUUACAACCUGUUUCUUUUCACACUUCCUCAACACCCUUGCUUCUCCGUCCCACACGUCAAUCAUAUGGACCUGCGUAUUCUGUGGAUUGGUUCUGAGACAUUUCUUCAAAAAUUAUCAAAUCUAAGUCUAAGCCUAAACCUAUUUUUAUCUAAAAACCUAAGCCAAUUAUGUAAUUUAAACCUCUCCCUUAUAAUAUUACUCACGCUUUUCCAUUCUUUCUAAUAUUCUCAUUUUCAUAUAUUAUGUAAAAUACUCAGAAAAUAAAGUGUAAACAUAUGUCAAAAAAGAAGUAUAAAUAUAUAGUCAGUGCAUAAUUUUGGUAUGGCUAAUUAUCUGACCGAUGUAAUGGUUGUAUUUCAAAAUCACAUGGUUACAAAUUAAACUAUAAGCAAGAUUUUGGUGAACAUUGAUGGUCCAUAGGGUCUAUGUGACUAUGUGGAAAGUGGCACAAUUUAUUCGGUUGUAUUUGGUUUAGUAGCCUUCUAAGAGUUUCCAAAGUUUGCAUGAUGUCUAGACUGUAGUUAAAGUAUACUUAGAAGGGAUUCAUUGCUCAUAACUCCUCGAAACAUGUGUUUUGGGUUUAACAAAACAUAUACAUGAAUCUUUAGAAUGGGUUUUUGAGGACUUGAUGAAAUCUUUAAUGAAUGCAUGAAUCUUUUUUUUUUUUUUUUUGAAUUUAGAAAAAGAAAGAAAAAAGAUGUACAGAACUUAAAGUGAUAUUUGGGUUUAUGUGGAUGUGGAGAAAGAGACAAGAACAUUUUCCAUUGACGAAGACUUGGCCAAUCAACGACGAGUUGACGCAAGACUAACCAAGUCAGUACGUUAUAACUUCCUUCUAUAAGAGAAUUAGAGAAGCAGUGAAGCAUACAACAGCAUAACUCAUUACGUUUACAACACAAACUCAAAAAGAGAAAUGAUGAUUCGAAACCAUCUUUGUAUUAUUACCAUCUAUUUCUCAUUCCUAAUCCACAGUACUCUUGCUUCUCCUAGGCUCCACUUUUGCCGCCACGACCAGAGGGAUGCUCUUUUGGAAUUCAGAAACGAGUUUCCUACUGCCGAGUCUUUUCCAAGUUCGUGGAACAAAAGCAGUGAUUGUUGUUUUUGGGAGGGAGUCAAGUGCGAUGAUCAAUCUGGCCAGGUUAUAUCACUCGACCUUUCUGGUAAAUCUCUUAAAGGCUCUCUGAAAACCAACAGUAGCCUUUUCAAACUCCAAUAUCUUCGUGAUUUAAGCCUUCGUGUUUGCAAUCUCCAAGGAGAGAUUCCUUCGUCACUAGGAAACCUUUCUCGUCUCACUCAAGUUGACCUUUCUUUUAAUCAAUUGGUAGGUGAGAUUCCGAUUUCAAUCGGUAAUCUAAACCAACUAAGAUAUCUUAAGCUUAAGUAUAAUCGUCUCAGAGGAGAGAUUCCUUCUUCACUAGGAAACCUUUCUCAUCUCACUCUAGUUGAGCUUCCUGAUAAUCAAUUGGUAGGUGAGAUUCCGAUUUCAAUCGGAAACCUCAAGGAACUAAGAAUCAUUUGGCUUGCCGAUAACAAGUUAUGUGGUAAUAUUCCGAUUUCAGUCACUAAUUUAACGAAGCUUUCCUAUUUUGUCAUCCGCUUGAAUAACUUCACUUCCAUGUUUCUUUAAGAGAGCUAUUUCUGGAGAACAACAAAUUCGAAGGAACUAUUCCAGAUGUGUUUGUCAAUGCUACCAAGUUAGUAUCAUUGGACGUUAGUCACAACAAUCUAGAAGGGAAGUUUCCAAAGUCAUUGAUCAAUUGCAAAUAUUUGCGAUUUGUGAACGUGGAAGGCAACCUAAUCAAGGACAGGUUUCCAUCGUGGUUGGGAUCUCUACCAUCAUUACAAGUUCUCAUCCUCAGAUCAAACGAGUUCUACGGGCCGUUGUAUCAUGACCACAUGUAU